UUGGUACAGUCCAGCUUCGUGCCUCUAGCUUCGUGCCUCAAAUUUGGAUUGCAGGAUUAGUAAUAUUUUGGGGUACAGUGGUAUGGUGUGAAGAAAUUAAGGCACGCUAUGGAGAAACUGGACGAAAUAACAAUUGCCACCCUGAAAGAAGCAAAUGUUGGAGAAGACCUGCUCUCAUCACUGUCACGAGAUGACAUCAAAGAUCUGUUUCCUGGUCCUGAACAUUUCCUCAGGCGUCGGGCUCUAUGGCUUGCAGUGCACAAAUGUGAAAAAAAGACCCUGAAGGCUACCUGCGUCAGCGACCCCUGGCUUGUCCAGUUCUGCUUGUCUCUGAAGGCAACUGCAUGAUAGCUGUUGGAAGCACACCGGUGAGCACUUUUGACCGGAAGGAUCUUAAUGAGGGACUGCUCUAUCUGAUGGCAUAUUACUAUGCCCUCCACCUCACAUAUCCAAAGUGCAUUUCCACGCUGCUGUCUGUCUUGCAAACUGAAAUACUCAAAGACUCCAUCCAUGACUGAGAUUCAACCCCCUCUUACAGGAAGGCUCUUGGUGAGUGGAAGUCAUUCAUUGAGUGAGUCUCUCAGAUGACAGACUCCAUCUGCCUUGUUUAUCAGACUCAGUGUUAGUCAGUGAGGUUUUUUUUUUUUCUCUAGAAAAGUUGUUCAAAUGGAAAACACGUUUGUUUGUGUGGUCGUUAAACUUGUUCUUCUAAAAUGUUAUGUAAUAUAGGAUUUGAAAUAGUGAUUGUUUUAAGCUUCAGCAAAAUUUAUUUUUGAUACCAGCCAUGAGUGUGUUAUACUGUUAUUAUUUAUGUUAAGAGUAUCUGGAAUAUGCACUUCUUGUAUUGGCCAUGUUACACAGUACCCUGCUGAAAUGUAUAAUUUUAGACAUGAUUCUCCUGGAACAGACCUCAGUGAGUUACUGACCCAUU
Molecule: long non-coding RNA, 931 nt
Organism: Oreochromis niloticus (Nile tilapia)
Lineage: Eukaryota; Metazoa; Chordata; Actinopteri; Cichliformes; Cichlidae
Exons: 3
Source: RefSeq, a predicted model, not a curated record